This 406-nucleotide ribosomal RNA is filed under the name uncultured bacterium. RNAcentral describes it as "partial 16S ribosomal RNA". It matches the Rfam family "Bacterial small subunit ribosomal RNA", at positions 30 to 526 of the family's 1533-position model. The record is from RNAcentral.
AUUGAACGCUGGCGGCAGGCCUAACACAUGCAAGUCGAACGAGUGGCGGACGGGUGAGUAAUGUCUGGGAAACUGCCUGAUGGAGGGGGAUAACUACUGGAAACGGUAGCUAAUACCGCAUACCAUCGGAUGUGCCCAGAUGGGAUUCGCUAGUAGGUGGGGUAAAGGCUCACCUAGGCGACGAUCCCUAGCUGGUCUGAGAGGAUGACCAGCCACACUGUAACUGAGACACGGUCCAGACUCCUACGGGAGGCAGCAGUGGGGAGUAUUGCACAAGGGGAGCAAGCCUGAUGCAGCCAUGCCGCGUGUAUGAAGAAGGCCUUCGGGUUGUAAAGUACUUUUAGCAGGGAAGCGGUAUCCGCAGAAGAAGCACCGGCUAACUCCGUGCCAGCAGCCGCGGUAAUAC